This 129-nucleotide transfer RNA is filed under the name Aureobasidium namibiae CBS 147.97. It matches the Rfam family "tRNA". Rfam says of the family: Transfer RNA (tRNA) molecules are approximately 80 nucleotides in length. The record is from Rfam by way of RNAcentral. Lineage: Eukaryota; Fungi; Ascomycota; Dothideomycetes; Dothideales; Saccotheciaceae.
GCCGUGGUGGUGCAGUGGUCAGCACACCCGAUCCUUUACCUUUCAUUCCUUUGUCAUUCGCUCGCUUUGGGUCGUAAACACACUCUUUCGAGGAUCGGGAGGUCGUUGGUUCGAGUCUAACCCAUGGUG